Molecule: ribosomal RNA, 446 nt
Filed under: uncultured bacterium
Lineage: Bacteria
Description: bacterial SSU rRNA
Rfam family: Bacterial small subunit ribosomal RNA
Source: RNAcentral
UCGGGAAUUUUGGGCAAUGGGCGAAAGCCUGACCCAGCAACGCCGCGUGAAGGAUGAAGUAUUUCGGUAUGUAAACUUCGAAAGAAUAGGAAGAAUAAAUGACGGUACUAUUAUAAGGUCCGGCUAACUACGUGCCAGCAGCCGCGGUAAUACGUAGGGACCAAGCGUUGUUCGGAUUUACUGGGCGUAAAGGGCGCGUAGGCGGCAAUUCAAGUCAUCUGUGAAAUCUCCGGGCUUAACUCGGAACGGUCAGAUGAUACUGCUUUGCUAGAGUGCAGAAGGGGCAAUCGGAAUUCUUGGUGUAGCGGUGAAAUGCGUAGAUAUCAAGAGGAACACCUGAGGUGAAGACGGGUUGCUGGGCUGACACUGACGCUGAGGCGCGAAAGCCAGGGGAGCAAACGGGAUUAGAUACCCAUGUAGUCCCUGAGCGGGCUGGCAAGGCGCAU